Schistosoma margrebowiei is the source of this 52-nucleotide non-coding RNA. Lineage: Eukaryota; Metazoa; Platyhelminthes; Trematoda; Strigeidida; Schistosomatidae. The record is from Rfam.
GCACUGCUGAGGAGUCCCAUACCAGGACGAAACGGCCGUCNCCGUCCAGUGC